This 515-nucleotide ribosomal RNA is filed under the name uncultured bacterium. RNAcentral describes it as "partial 16S ribosomal RNA". It matches the Rfam family "Bacterial small subunit ribosomal RNA", at positions 29 to 523 of the family's 1533-position model. The record is from RNAcentral.
AACGAACGCUGGCGGCGUGCCUAACACAUGCAAGUCGAACGGAAUAAGGGGCUUGCUCCUUAUUUAGUGGCGCACGGGUGAGUAACGCGUAGAUAAUCUGCCUGAUGAUCUGGGAUAACAUUUCGAAAGAGGUGCUAAUACCGGAUAAGCCCACGACGGCCUGGUCGACGCGGGAAAAGGGGGGGACCAUUUGGCCUUCUGUCAUCAGAUGAGUCUGCGUACCAUUAGCUAGUUGGUGGGGUAAAGGCCUACCAAGGUUACGAUGGUUAGCUGGUCUGAGAGGAUGAUCAGCCAACCUGGAACUGAGACACGGUCCAGACUCCUACGGGAGGCAGCAGGGGGGAAUUUUGCGCAAUGGGCGAAAGCCUGACGUAGCAACGCCGCGUGAGUGAUGAAGGCUUUCGGGUCGUAAAGCUCUGUCAAUGGGAAAGAAGUGUAUUGUAGCUAAUAUCUGCGAUACUUGACGGUACCCAUAAAGGAAGCACCGGCUAACUCCGUGCCAGCCGCCGCCGUAA